This 481-nucleotide ribosomal RNA is filed under the name uncultured bacterium. Its description in RNAcentral is "partial 16S ribosomal RNA". It matches the Rfam family "Bacterial small subunit ribosomal RNA", at positions 28 to 523 of the family's 1533-position model. The record is from RNAcentral.
GACGAACGCUGGCGGCGUGCUUAACACAUGCAAGUCGAACGGAAAGGCUCAGCUUGCUGGGUGCUCGAGUGGCGAACGGGUGAGUAACACGCGGGUGAUCUGCACCUAACUUCGGGAUAAGCUUGGGAAACUGGGUCUAAUACCGCAUAGGACUAUGCUAUGCAUGGGGUGGGGUGGUAAGCUUUUGCGGUGUGGGGUGGGCCCGCGGCCUAUCAGCUUGUUGGUGGGGUGAUGGCCUACCAGGGCGACGACGGGUAGCCGGCCUGGGAGGGUGUCCGGCCACACUGGGACUGAGAUACGGCCCAGACUCCUACGGGAGGCAGCAGUGGGGAUAUUGCACAAUGGGCGCAAGCCUGAUGCAGCGACGCCGCGUGGGGGAUGACGGCCUUCGGGUUGUAAACCUCUUUCAGCACAGACGAAGCGCAAGUGACGGUAUGUGCAGAAGAAGGACCGGCCAACUACGUGCCAGCCGCCGCAGUAA